This is a long non-coding RNA of Oncorhynchus keta (chum salmon), 3174 nucleotides long. RefSeq lists it as uncharacterized. The transcript is spliced from 3 exons. The record is from RefSeq and is a predicted model, not a curated record. NCBI's taxonomy places the organism in Eukaryota, Metazoa, Chordata, Actinopteri, Salmoniformes, Salmonidae.
CAAAGUUCCCUCACGCCACACAACGUUCCUCCAAUCAAAGUUCCCUCACGCCACACAACGUUCCUCCAAUCAAAGUACCCUCACGCCACACAACGUUCCUCCAAUCAAAGUACCCUCACGCCACACAACGCUCCUCCAAUCAAAGUUCCCUCACGCCACACAACGUUCCUCCAAUCAAACAGAACAACAUGUUGUGCUACUCAACAGAAGGAAUAGUGGAAUGUCAGUCGAGGACCUGACCAUGAACUUGGUUCAAUUAAUCCCACUGUCGGUAAUGUUAUGGAUCAUUAUUGAUAAUUAACUACGGCGUUAUAUCUCGUUCCCCAAAGCAUCACUGUCCUAUACGAACACUGAGGAUUACUGCAAAUCACACUUCACAUUGUAUUCAUUCAAUUGGAACGGUCUGAUUAAAAACCCUUAAAUACUACCGAUGGUUGACUCCCAAAUUCUCUAAAAUGGUUUCUGGAGUGGAGUGAACAAAUGGAAUGAGUUUCAUUUCAUUCUUUAUAAUUCUAGUUUCCAUUUACUUUCACAUCUCCAGUCCUGUCAGUUCAGUGGUCGUUUAAAAGUAUUGGUAGACACGAUAAGGUAAAACACAUUUAUUGAUAAUUUUUAACACUUCACAUUGUGACUCCCGGGUGGACGCAGCGAUCGAAGGCACUGCGGAUUGUUCCGGGCUUUGUAACUGUCUACAUCCUUGCCGUUCAUCGCCGUUUCCAUCUUCCCUGCGACCUGCCCUGUCAGGAACUGCGAUGAGUAACAGCGUAGCCGGCGUUGCUACCAUGACAACGACCAUGAGGACAGUAAUGUCUCUCCAUCGCAGGUGAGGGGUCUUUGCAAAUGAACGAAAGCAGUUUUUACAACAAGAAAAUAUCUUAAAGUGUUUUGUCCAAAUACUGCUGGAGUCAACUAAUAAAAGAAUGGACCUGACCAGAGAGGUCCAGAACCUGAAGAACAGGGUGCAGUUCUCCCAGGGUCAGCACGAUGAGGUGAAACAGGAGAACAGCAGUUCUCCCAGGGUCAGCACGAUGAGGUGAAACAGGAGAACAGCAGUUCACCCAGGGUCAGCACAAUGAGGUGAAACAGGAGAACAGCAGUUCACCCAGAGUCAGCACGAUGAGGAGAAACAGGAGAACAGCAGUUCUCCCAGGGUCAGCACGAUGAGGAGAAACAGGAGAACAGCAGUUCACCCAGGGUCAGCACAAUGAGGAGAAACAGGAGAACAGCAGUUCUCCCAGAGUCAGCACGAUGAGGUGAAACAGGAGAACAGCAGUUCUCCCAGGGUCAGCACGAUGAGUAGAAACAGGAGAACAGCAGUUCACCCAGGGUCAGCACGAUGAGGAGAAACAGGAGAACAGCAGUUCUCCCAGGGUCAGCACGAUGAGUUGAAACAGGAGAACAGCAGUUCUCCCAGGGUCAGCACGAUGAGGAGAAACAGGAGAACAGCAGUUCUCCCAGGGUCAGCACGAUGAGGAGAAACAGGAGAACAGCAGUUCUCCCAGGGUCAGCACGAUGAGGAGAAACAGGAGAACAGCAGUUCACCCAGGGUCAGCACGAUGAGGAGAAACAGGAGAACAGCAGUUCUCCCAGGGUCAGCACGAUGAGGUGAAACAGGAGAACAGCAGUUCUCCCAGGGUCAGCACGAUGAGGUGAAACAGGAGAACAGCAGUUCUCCCAGGGUCAGCACGAUGAGGUGAAACAGGAGAACAGCAGUUCUCCCAGGGUCAGCACGAUGAGGUGAAACAGGAGAACAGCAGUUCUCCCAGGGUCAGCACGAUGAGGAGAAACAGGAGAACAGCAGUUCACCCAGGGUCAGCACGGUGAGUUGAAACAGGAGAACAGCAGUUCUCCCAGGGUCAGCACGAUGAGUUGAAACAGGAGAACAGCAGUUCACCCAGGGUCAGCACGAUGAGGAGAAACAGGAGAACAGCAGUUCACCCAGGGUCAGCACGAUGAGGAGAAACAGGAGAACAGCAGUUCUCCCAGGGUCAGCACGAUGAGGUGAAACAGGAGAACAGCAGUUCUCCCAGGGUCAGCACGAUGAGGAGAAACAGGAGAACAGCAGUUCUCCCAGGGUCAGCACGAUGAGGAGAAACAGGAGAACAGCAGUUCUCCCAGGGUCAGCACGAUGAGUAGAAACAGGAGAACAGCAGUUCUCCCAGGGUCAGCACGAUGAGGAGAAACAGGAGAACAGCAGUUCUCCCAGGGUCAGCACGAUGAGUUGAAACAGGAGAACAGCAGUUCACCCAGGGUCAGCACGAUGAGGUGAAACAGGAGAACAGCAGUUCACCCAGGGUCAGCACGAUGAGGAGAAACAGGAGAACAGGAGUUUAUAUAUACACACACACACUCUAAAUAAAAAGUGGCACAGUGCAUUAGGAAUGGACACAGUGAACAAAACAUUAAGAACACCUUCCUAAUAUUGAGUUGCACCCUCUUUCCCUCAGAACAGCCUCAAUUCAUCAGGGACAUGGACUCUACAAGGUGUCCAAAGCGUUCCACAGGGAUGCUGGCCCAUGUUGACUCUACAAGGUGUAGAAAGCGUUCCACAGGGAUGCUGGCCCAUGUUGACUCUACAAGGUGUCUAAAGCGUUCCACAGGGAUGCUGGCCCAUGUUGACUCUACAAGGUGUCUAAAGCAUUCCACAGGGAUGCUGGCCCAUGUUGACUCUACAAGGUGUGGAAAGCGUUCCACAGAGAUGCUGGCCCAUGUUGACUCUACAAGGUGUUGAAAGCGUUCCACAGAGAUGCUGGCCCAUGUUGACUCUACAAGGUGUUGAAAGCGUUCCACAGGGAUGCUGGCCCCAUGUUGACUCUACAAGGUGUCUAAAGCGUUCCACAGGGAUGCUGGUCCAUGUUGACUCCAGGGAUGCUGGUCCAUGUUGACUCUACAAGGAGUAGAAAGCGUUCCACAGGGAUGCUGGCCCAUGUUGUCUCCAAUGCUUCCCACAGUUGUGUCAAGUUGGCUGGAUGUCCUUUGGGUGGUGGACCGUUCUCGAUAAACACAGGAAAGUGUUGCAGUUCUUGACAGAACCAGUGUGCCUGGCACCUACUACCCUACCCCGUUCAAAGGGCACUUAAAUCUUUGAUCAUUUACCCUCUCAAAGGCAUCCAUACACAAUCUAUGUCUCCAGGCUUAAAAAGCCUUCUUUAAACUUGUCUCCUCACCUUCAUC